Molecule: non-coding RNA, 45 nt
Filed under: Schistosoma mansoni
Lineage: Eukaryota; Metazoa; Platyhelminthes; Trematoda; Strigeidida; Schistosomatidae
Source: RNAcentral
AUCCAGCCGACGAGUCCCGAAUAGGACGAAACAUGCGUCCUGGAU